This 75-nucleotide transfer RNA is filed under the name Candidatus Jorgensenbacteria bacterium CG10_big_fil_rev_8_21_14_0_10_54_38. RNAcentral's name for it is "tRNA-Phe". It matches the Rfam family "tRNA". Rfam says of the family: Transfer RNA (tRNA) molecules are approximately 80 nucleotides in length. The record is from RNAcentral. RNAcentral also lists the same sequence under 1 other name. Lineage: Bacteria; Candidatus Joergenseniibacteriota.
GCCGCGGUAGCUCAGCGGUAGAGCGAAGGUUUGAAGAACCUUGCGUCGGGGGUUCGACUCCCUCCCGCGGCACAA